This 254-nucleotide ribosomal RNA is filed under the name uncultured bacterium. RNAcentral describes it as "partial 16S ribosomal RNA". It matches the Rfam family "Bacterial small subunit ribosomal RNA", at positions 524 to 776 of the family's 1533-position model. The record is from RNAcentral.
UACGAAGGGGGCUAGCGUUGUUCGGAUUUACUGGGCGUAAAGGGUGCGUAGGCGGUUGUUUAAGUCUGGUGUGAAAUCUCCCGGCUCAACUGGGAGGGUGCGCCGGAUACUGAGGGGCUAGAGUGUGGGAGAGGAAAGUGGAAUUCCUGGUGUAGCGGUGAAAUGCGUAGAUAUCAGGAGGAACACCGGUGGUGUAAACGGCUUUCUGGACCAUAACUGACGCUGAGGCACGAAAGCGGUGGGUAGCAAACAGG